AGCAGCCGCGGUAAUUCCAGCUCCAAUAGCGUAUAUUAAAGUUGUUGCAGUUAAAAAGCUCGUAGUUGAAUUUCGGGGUUAGUAAGUUGGUCAUGCCUCCGGUAUGUACUGGCUUUACUGAUUCCUCCUUCUUGAUGAACUGUAAUGUCAUUAAUUUGGUGUUGCAGGGAAUCAGGACUGUUACUUUGAAAAAUUAGAGUGUUUAAAGCAGGCAUACGCUUGAAUACAUUAGCAUGGAAUAAUGAAAUAGGACGUUUGAUCCUAUUUUGUUGGUUUCUAGGAUUGACGUAAUGAUUAAUAGGGAUAGUUGGGGGCAUUAGUAUUCAAUUGUCAGAGGUGAAAUUCUUGGAUUUAUUGAAGACUAACUACUGCGAAAGCAUUUGCCAAGGAUGUUUUCAUUAAUCAAGAACGAAAGUUAGGGGAUCGAAGACGAUCAGAUACCGUCGUAGUCUUAACCAUAAACUAUGCCGACUAGGGAUCGGAUGAUGUUAUUUUUAAUGACUCAUUCGGCG
RNAcentral lists this ribosomal RNA (512 nucleotides) under uncultured Glomus. Its description in RNAcentral is "SSU rRNA". It matches the Rfam family "Eukaryotic small subunit ribosomal RNA", at positions 569 to 1085 of the family's 1831-position model. Lineage: Eukaryota; Fungi; Glomeromycota; Glomeromycetes; Glomerales; Glomeraceae. The record is from RNAcentral.